GUGCGCGCUGCGCUCUGGCGGGAGGGCGCUUCUCUCGGCUUUUUAUAGCUUCAUGGCGGACCACGUUGAGAACAACAACAGCCUGGUCCGGGGCCAGCGCCAACUUGUGCUUCUUGGAGCCCCUUCUCCGGCCGCUGGCUUCUCGGACCGCGCCUCUCCAGCGCCGCCGCGCCCGCAGCGGGGCGCCCCGGACAGGGCCUGAGCUCCCGGCGCAGUGGAGAGGCGACUUGCGUCCUGGAAGGGCUCAGCAAAGGCGAACGGAGAGGUGCACCCUAGGCUGCGGGAGCGCGAGAGGAGGGGGGCACCUCGUUUGGAGGCCAAUAGCGCGGGCCCCAGAGGAGGCCCCACGGCCGGGAGCUUGGCGGCCGGCAACCCAGAGAACGCCACGGGCACCCGAGCCUUGUCCCGGCCCGGGGGGCUCCAGGCCUGCCCGCAAGAGGAGCUUUAAUUUGUCCAAACUAACACAGGGCGCGCCCUCACGUGGUCGGCUGGGGCAACGUGAACUGCGCUAGGACAUCCUCGGGGGUUUUCCGCCCCAUCCAAAGGGGAUGGCGGAUGGGAGGCACUCUCCAGCUGCACCCCGGGUUCUGGUUGUGCCUCUGGGAGCCUAGGCACAACCCGGGGAAUGGAGGACUACGGCAGGACCUCUCUAGGGACACUGCCUCGCCGCUCCCCCCACCCUGUUGCCGCUGAUGUUCCCAGGGCCUCAUUUUGUAAUCCACAAGUAGCUGCCGCCGGUCCCCCCAAAGCCAAAUGGGGGCUCCAGGGUGGGACAGGGUGGGCGGGGGUGAGGCUGUGACACCCAGAGGAAUUCCUGUGAGAGGAUGGGGAAGGGAUUCGCUCUUAGUUCCUGGGUGCACCCCUCCCCCUCUCCCGUGCACAGGGAAAUGAUGGCGGGAACACAGCAAAGGAGACCAUGUCCUGGAGAGGGUCCCGGGCCCCACCCUCCCCGGGGGGGCUUGUGCAAGGCUGGCGGCCCGAUCUCUGCUGAUUCCAGUAUUGGGGGUGCAGAGAAGGCACAGGACAGUUUUUGUUGAAGCCGUUGCAGCCUCCACUUGGGGAAGCUGAGGCCAGGGGCACAGGACAACGUUGAGGGCCUGAGGCCUCCACCUUCUUGAAGAAGGACCAUGUGAAUUUCCUGACAGAGAACGGGGAUGGGUUUCUGAAAGCACCACCCAGCUGAGCCUGCCGAAACUGCACAGCUGUUUCCAGGCCAGGCUGGCUGCAUGGAGGACGUGAGAGGAACAGCCAGCUGUGUGUGCUGGGCCCACUGAUCAGGGUGCUCAGGACCAGGAGCCUUCUGAGGAUGUGCAGAGGGGACUCUGGGGAGAGGAACAUGGUGGCCACAGCUGGAGUGACCGCAGUGUACAGAGAUGGGAUGGGAGCAGGAAACCCAAAAGAGCCGGCCCUGGAACCAGGUGGAGGGGAGGCAGCCCGGCCAUGACCCAGAGCAGGACACCUGCUCCACUUCACCUUUUGCCAUGAGUAAAAGCUCCCUGAGGCCUCCCAAGAAGUUGAUGCCCUGUGCUUCCUGUACAGCUGCGGAACCGGAUGGCUUUCCGUGGCUUUGCUACAGCCACUCCUGGAAGUGCUGCCUGACUGAAUCCUCAGGGCACCCCGGCAGGAUGGACGUGGUGUACCCCCUACUUUACAGAUGGGGAAACUGAGGCUUGAGAGCUAAAGCAGCCCACCCAGCUCCCAGAGAUGAGGAGGCCGACUCUGGCAGGAGUCACUGUCGGUGCAUGGGCAUUUCUUCCUGUUACAGCCUGCGGCCCCUUCCAGGCCGGGAGGCCUUCUGCGCAGGGGCACCCUCCCUGCAUGGCCCGAUGACCUGCACUCCUGUUUCAUCUCCCCGUGUGGCACCUGGGGCAGCUUGGAGCCUACCAAGGUCUCAACAAGGAACCAGUAAAUACCAAAAAAAGGACAUCACGUCCCCUACAGCUAACUGCAAAUGGUGACCAUCCCAGCCCUUGUUUGAUAACACAAGCAAAGCAAUGGCUUCUUCAAGGACACCGAGAGGAACCUCACCUCUUUCUAAAACCUCCAACACAGGGCCAGGCGCGGUGGCUCAUGCGUGUAAUCCCAGCACUUUGGGAGGCCGAGGCAGGUGGAUCACGAGGUCAGGAGAUCGAGACCAUCCUGGCUAACACGGUGAAACCCCGUCUCUACUAAAAAUAAAAAAAAUUAGCCGGG
This is a long non-coding RNA of Homo sapiens (human), 2193 nucleotides long. RefSeq annotates it as H1-10 antisense RNA 1. Lineage: Eukaryota; Metazoa; Chordata; Mammalia; Primates; Hominidae. The record is from RefSeq and is marked validated. The transcript is spliced from 5 exons.